This is a long non-coding RNA of Ostrea edulis (European flat oyster), 2931 nucleotides long. RefSeq lists it as uncharacterized. The transcript is spliced from 5 exons. NCBI's taxonomy places the organism in Eukaryota, Metazoa, Mollusca, Bivalvia, Ostreida, Ostreidae. The record is from RefSeq and is a predicted model, not a curated record.
AAUAUAUACAUAAUAUUUCGGCUGUGUCUGGCGGUGUCCGGCGGUAAAAAUACCCACCCCAUUUCGUCAAUAUCUUUCUGUGGGAGGAAACCGGAGUACCCAGAGGAAACCCACGUGUCCGAGCGGGCGACCACCAUACCCUCUCACAUACAACCACUGCCGAUCACGGGGAUCGAACUCGGGUCGCAGCGGUGAGAAGUAUAUAACUAAAUAUGAUAAUGCAAAAGACAUGACCUAUAUUGAAUACCCUCUCCUUAAACUUAUUCAUUACAUGUAAUGUGAUGAAUUAAUUUGUACCUAUUAUUUGAUUGUAAUCAGUAAGUUCAAUUUAGUAUCUAUAAUCUUAUUCAAAUAAUACUUUUAUAAAUAAAAAGUUCAUUAUUCUUGUCCAGUUGCUAAAUAAUUCUAUCUUUAUUGAAUAAGAUAGCUGUUAUUCAUGAAUAAAUGUUAAAGCAGUUUCAUAGCACUGUACCAAGAAGGGAGAAAAUGCAACGGACAUGACCGGGAUUCAAACCCGGGCCCCCUGAAUCUCUAGUCAGGUGCUCUACCAACUGAGCUAACUGGCCACCGGCGAUCUAACCCGGCUGACCGCUACAGCACUAUUGUAAUUGCAUACAUAAACAUAAAAGGGGGAGGGGGUGUCUCAUGACUGUUUCACCAUCUUUUUGUUACAAAAUGCACACAACCCUGCAAUUUUUUUUUAUUACUCAGCUAUUGAAUUAACUCCUAUUAAUCCCUUAUACGAUUCAGUUGCAGGGUUUCCUUUUAGAAUUUUUCAUAUAAUUAAACAGAAGCUAGAAACACUUGAGAAAAGCUUUAAUUUCUAACAGAAUCACUUCUUUUAAAUUCAAGCGAUAAAUUAAUGAUCUGUGUAUUUGUGUCUUUAUAAAAUCAGAAGUUGUUCCCAUCCUGAUCAUGGUCUAUGCGUUUGACAACAACUAUGACUUCGUACAGUAAUACAAUUCAAUACUAAUCAGCUGAUCAAGGAUUUAUAGGUUAACGCUAUUUGGUACCGCUUGCAGGGCGGUGACCACGAGUUACCUGCCCCUAUACAAUGAGUUAAGUGCCCCUGUAUUUCAUCUGUUAAGUUGUACUUAAAAUAGGCUAACUCUUGCGCAAAAAAAGAUAGAAAAUAUCAAAUAUGGGAAAGCGGGACGAUAGACCAAACAUAUCUACGAAGAGACCGUUGGUGCCGGAAAUAUCUCUGUCUUUAGUAGUGUCCGCGAGGUAUAUUAAUUUAUAAAACAUGAGAUAUCUAAAUAAAGUACCAUAUUGCCCGGGAAUCAAAAGAUUUUUGCAAGAUCGGUAAGUAUAUUCAAUAUAGGCUAAACAAGCACAAGGCCAGGGCACGUGGUAAGUCAUUCCGCAGCGCAGGAAUGACCAAAACUAGCCUACUACGGUACCAUUUACAGAAAUUACCAAAAAAAUGACAAAAAUUACCAAGAGAGGAGCUAAAAUGACCUCAGUAAUACAUGACAUCUACUAUCAUAUUCACAUUAAAAAUUUUGGUCCCUCCAUUGACAACUUCAAUAAUUUUUAAUUUCGGUCAUAUCUUUGGUAUUUUCUGUGAACGUUUGUAAUUUCGGACAUUAUAUUUAACAAUCCUACUAUUCAUUCCACAAUGAAGGCCAGUGGGCCUAGAUUUUUAAUUUGAUACACGUAUAAACUUAACACUGCGCAAGUUACGUCACGGAAUGCAGUAUAGGGGAGGAGAAAAUAUUUGGCUGGACCAGGAGUCGAACCUAGGAUCCCUGCAUUACUAGUCAGGUGCUCUAACCACAGAGCUAUCCAGGUCGAUAUCCACGGUCCGUGUAGCCCUAACUACUAAAUUCCUCCCUUUAAUUUGUCUUUGCCGUCGAAGACACACAACCCAGAUUCAUUUCACCCCUGGCAGGACAAGAGUGGUCACGGCACCAACUGGUAAAAUCUUGCACAGAGGUCCCUAGGUUCAAUUCCCGAUCCAGCCACAAAUUUUCUCCGUGUAUGUCUAUCUGAGACUGAGUUGGAAAAUUACGGUAUCUUCAUAGUGACAAACUAAUGAAAAUAUUGAUCAAAUUCGACUGGUCAAGGACUGUUAAUAUAAAUAAAUUUGAAACAUUGGUCAUUGUAAUGAUUGGGUUCAUGUUAUACUAAGCUUGUGUUUCAAGACAAGGCUGUCUUUGUUGGUGAUGAUACUGAUGUAUAUAUUUAGAAACAAGUAAUGCUUUGAUUUUGAUUACAGAUGUGUUCUUUAAAAAAAUUAAUGCAUGGCAAGGUUGAUAGUGAGACUAAUAAAUUCUUUCAGCAGAAUUCAGCUAGACACCAAAAAAAAGACAAUCACUACAGCCUUCCAAGAAGAUGGACUGCCUCACAAUAGUUUCCUUGAGGACUGUCUUGAAAUAUCCAGAGUUUAAGAUUCAAGAAACGGACUCUAUCUGGAAAAGGAAAACAAUAUCAAAGCUCCUCUGUGAGAAAUUGGCCAAGGAAAGCAUUCAGAAGAAAGUGGAGAUUCAUUGUUUUUACCAGAUCCAGCAGAUCACAGAAAGCAUCUAGGAGGGGAGGUCUACAGAUCGAAGCAUGCCAAAUGUGUAAAGAACAAGUUUCCAGGAUUAAGCCAGCCAGUAGAUGAGACUAUCAUAUCAAAAAUACAUUUACUUGUACACGAGGGCACACAAAGUGUUGAUGAAACAAAAAGACAUUUCCGUCUGUUUGUAAAGGAUACUAUUUCACCAGGGAACACCAUCUCAGAAUUUAACAGAUGCUUUUACCCCGCCAAUAAGGAUGUAAGAAAUCACAUUUACAGGGCACCGAGAUUUUGCCAGGUAGUUUAGAACUGUGUGCAUUGGUUUUGGAAGAAUUUGGGCUGUUUAGGCUAAAAUCCAUUAUGUAACAGGUACCAGAUUUUAUAAAGUACCCUCCCUCUAACAGGUACCAACUUACAAAGCACACUUC